CAUGCAAGUCGAGCGGAGUUUUGAAAAGCUUGCUUUUCAAAACUUAGCGGCGGACGGGUGAGUAACACGUGGGCAACCUGCCCUUGAGACGGGGAUAACUCCGGGAAACCGGAGCUAAUACCGGAUAACACAUAUCUUCGCAUGAAGAUAUGUUAGAAGGUGGCUUUUAGCUACCACUCAAGGAUGGGCCCGCGGCGCAUUAGCUAGUUGGUGAGGUAACGGCUCACCAAGGCGACGAUGCGUAGCCGACCUGAGAGGGUGAUCGGCCACACUGGGACUGAGACACGGCCCAGACUCCUACGGGAGGCAGCAGUAGGGAAUCUUCCGCAAUGGACGAAAGUCUGACGGAGCAACGCCGCGUGAGUGAUGAAGGUUUUCGGAUCGUAAAGCUCUGUUGUUAGGGAAGAACAAGUACCUGUUGAAUAAGCAGGUACCUUGACGGUACCUAACCAGAAAGCCACGGCUAACUACGUGCCAGCAGCCGCGGUAAUACGUAGGUGGCAAGCGUUGUCCGGAAUUAUUGGGCGUAAAGCGCGCGCAGGCGGUUCCUUAAGUCUGAUGUGAAAGCCCACGGCUCAACCGUGGAGGGUCAUUGGAAACUGGGGAACUUGAGUGCAGAAGAGGAGAGCGGAAUUCCACGUGUAGCGGUGAAAUGCGUAGAGAUGUGGAGGAACACC
RNAcentral lists this ribosomal RNA (677 nucleotides) under uncultured bacterium. RNAcentral describes it as "bacterial SSU rRNA". It matches the Rfam family "Bacterial small subunit ribosomal RNA", at positions 54 to 710 of the family's 1533-position model. The record is from RNAcentral.